RNAcentral lists this ribosomal RNA (445 nucleotides) under uncultured bacterium. RNAcentral's name for it is "partial 16S ribosomal RNA". It matches the Rfam family "Bacterial small subunit ribosomal RNA", at positions 354 to 796 of the family's 1533-position model. The record is from RNAcentral.
GUGAGGAAUAUUGGUCAAUGGGCGCGAGCCUGAACCAGCCAAGUAGCGUGAGGGAUGACUGCCCUAUGGGUUGUAAACCUCUUUUGCAGGGGGGUAAAGUGGUUCACGUGUGGACCAUUGCAAGUACCCUGCGAAUAAGGAUCGGCUAACUCCGUGCCAGCAGCCGCGGUAAUACGGAGGAUCCGAGCGUUAUCCGGAUUUAUUGGGUUUAAAGGGAGCGUAGGCGGGGGUUUAAGUCAGCUGUGAAAUGCCGUGGCCCAACCAUGGAACUGCAGUUGAAACUGGACCUCUUGAGAGUACAUAAGGAAGGCGGAAUUCGUGGUGUAGCGGUGAAAUGCAUAGAUAUCACGAAGAACUCCGAUUGCGAAGGCAGCUUUCCGGGGUACAUCUGACGCUGAAGCUCGAAAGUGCGGGAAUCAAACAGGAUUAGAAACCCCUGUAGUCC